RNAcentral lists this microRNA precursor (56 nucleotides) under Loxodonta africana (African savanna elephant). RNAcentral's name for it is "miRNA (ENSLAFG00000024084.1)". Lineage: Eukaryota; Metazoa; Chordata; Mammalia; Proboscidea; Elephantidae. The record is from RNAcentral.
UAGGUGUGUGUGUGUGUAUAUAUGUAUAUACACCCACACACAUACACACACCCAUU